AUGCCAUGGUGAGGACAUUUUCUCAGCAACUAUUUAUACCUAUCUCAUGCAUCAAGAACUGCUUCAUCAUCUAGUUGUUUGAAAUUACAGAUUUUAUUUCUAGACUU
Small nucleolar RNA from Cynara cardunculus var. scolymus (artichoke), 107 nucleotides. The record is from RefSeq and is a predicted model, not a curated record. Lineage: Eukaryota; Viridiplantae; Streptophyta; Magnoliopsida; Asterales; Asteraceae.